AUGUUCCUGCAGAGGAACAGAGCCGCGUCACUGCUGAGGCUGAGGAUGCGGAGACCGCGUGUCCCGCCAGCAGGUGGCAGUGUAAGACUGCGCACGGCUGAUGAAGAGCAGAUGGAUGAAGGAGAGCGUUACUCUGCAACAAAGAGCGUUUCAAGGAGGAACCAGGAAACUGGCUGCUGCUCUCCAAUGCAUCGCCCAUAGAGGAGGGACGGAGCGAGCCAUGCAGAGUUCAGUAGCUGUGUCUAAUCCUGAACCGGAUGAAGUCACAGAAUCCAAACUACAGAACAGUAUUCUCCCCUGACAGUGUGACGGGCACAGGAACAGAUGGAUGAGGUUUACUUCUGCUCCUUCAUUGGUAUUAAACUGGAUUUCCUAGUCUCCUUCAGUUGUCUUUAGUAGAAGAUCUGCUUGGAAAAACAGGGCAGAUCAGUGCACUGGUUUAUGACGCACGCGAGUCAGAAUGUGCGGUACCAAAGUGUGGAGUCGAGCGCUGGAUCGGUUCUGGCCACUUCGCACGGGCCUGGCGCUUCGAGGAGCGGAAAACAAACAGGGGGAGGCUGCCAGGGAGGUUGCUAGAAAGAGAAACUGGCAGGCAGCGAGCGGAAGCAGAUAAACAGCAGACAGCUGCAGAGCUGCCUUUCAAAUCAACAGUUCACCAAAGGCCCCGACCAUCUGUCUCGUACGAGCUGUGGCCCACGUGCGGUACGUUCUCCUCCGCUUCCCGUCUCUGUGUCUGAUUCACACACUCAGUGGACACGCAGCUGAUUCAUCCUAAUCGGAAACAAAUAACGCAACACAGUUUUUCGUCUGACCUCGUGGAUCGGUCAAAGUUUAUUGAGAGUGUGGACUAACAGUCAUCUGGAUGAAUGACAGAUGAAAACAUGGCUGACUGCAACAUGUUCCACGCAUCAAAGGAACAUGACAACAGAUGACUUAUAAACCAGAGUCAUCAUUCAAAGAAUGCAUUACACUGCAACUAAGCAGCCUAAUUUUUAGACGUCAUUAAAUCUGUUAUUGUUUAGAUCGUUGUGAUCAUUUCCAGCCGCAGAAUUAGUUUGGCCUUUCAAUUUACAAAGAACUAAAGUAGAUUAGAGCAGCAAAUCCUCACACCCACAACCCGUUGAUUAAGUCUCAAAUUAAUCGAUUUUAUUUUGACAAAUGAAUCAAUUAAGUGACUCAACAUUUCUGUGUUUCUGUGUUU
This 1201-nucleotide long non-coding RNA is filed under the name Betta splendens (Siamese fighting fish). RNAcentral describes it as "lncRNA (ENSBSLG00000013593.1)". The record is from RNAcentral. Lineage: Eukaryota; Metazoa; Chordata; Actinopteri; Anabantiformes; Osphronemidae.